CCGCCAGUAUUCCGGACUGGGACAGGCGGUUGUGCUAGUUAGUAGCAUCUCUGAGGACACAAAACCAUGGCGGAGAAUCUGUGCGUUGUUAUGCUCCUCUUAUGUGGGACUAUAAUCCCCUUCGUGACCGCUGAUGACUGUGAGGGCUACGUAGAUGCCAAGAGCCAAUACCAUUACAAGCAGUACUGCGGUGCAUAUGUGGGGUGCUGUGGAACGUGUGACAAUAGAUACUGCUGCAGCAAUGUCUACGGACAGAGGAAGUUGGAACAGGACAGCUGUUAUUUAAGUAGCAGUAGCAGCAGCAGUAGCAGUAGCACGUUCACCAUCUGGCCGUUCAUAGCAAUACCUGUCACCUUCGUGAUCAUUUUCAUCUCUUGCUGCGUGUGUCCCUGCUGCUGCUUGUACAACAUGUGCAGGAAGCCCAGACCGGUGAUAGCCACGACCUCUCACACCACAGUGGUGAACACCCAGUUCACCCAGCAACCCCAGCAGCCCGUCCAGAUCUACCAGGGUGGCCCCCAGUACCCAGCCUACCAGCCCGUACCCGUCCAGCCUGGGUAUGGGGCUCAGCCUCAACCCGGCUACGGAGGAGGGCAGCCCAUGCCCACAGCACCGGGUAACCAGGGACAGCCCUUCCAGCCAGGACCACCCCCUCCCUACCAAGAGUCUGGUCCAGCCUAUCCGCCUGCUAUCCCAGUGCCUUAUAGUCAGGCUGGGUUCAGUCCAGGACAGCCAUCAUACCCCUUCCAGCCUCCAGCUCAGCCCAGCUACCCAGCCCAGCAUCCCGGCUACCCAGCCCAGCAACCAGCCUACCCGGCCCAGGCUGGCGCGCCUCCCGUCCAGCCUGACUUCCUCUCUGCUCAGCCUGCCUACAACCCUGCCUUCGUGGACUCCCAACCUCCGAAGACUUGCUACUGAAUCAAUUCUCCAUCACUGUCCGUCUACCCCAGGUCCCCCCCCCGUUCCCCCGUCUCCCUCCCGUUCCCCCGUCUACCCCAGGUCUCCCCCCCGUUCCCCACCACCCCACACAUUCCAAACAUGAUCUAUUCGCUGAGCUUCUAGAGCUCACCUGGGAGAGAACUGAACUGGUUGCAUCCCUAACAGCACCCUAUUCUCUCUAUGUAGUGCACUAUCCUGGUCAAAAGUAGUGCACUACAUAGGGAAUAGGGUGGUGUUUGGGAUGCAUCCUACACCUUGUUUAGGACCAGGUUUAUUAUUACAGUCUAAAACAGCAAAAGGGAAUCAUGUAUUUCUGUGCCUCGGUCUUCAUUGUGCAACCCAAACUGUGGUUAAAAUCACUUUAAAACAUUUUGCACUGUAGUUGAAUGACGUAGAGUAGAAGACAGCCAAGAAUCAAAAUGUCUGAAUCCUCAUUCACACAAUUAUGAAAUAUAUCUAAAUCUAGUUUAGUGGUAAAAUGUAUGUUCUAUUAAAAUGUCAAGCUAUCCUGUCUCGUGACAGAAACUAGAAACCAUUGUGCCUUUUUUUUUUUAACAUAAAUUCUUUGUCUAACCAAAUUAUAAAACCGUCAGUGUUUUUUAGACAUUUUAAAGUAGUGUCUAUGUCCCCAUGAACUCAAAAGUAGUGCCCUAUGUAGGGAAUAGGGCGCCAUUUUGGACGUAAACCGUUCCAAGAAUGUUAAACCUCCACAAUAUGCCUUGUUUUUCCACUUAUGCUGUAAAAUCAUUCUGUAGCAAGCCUUGCAGGUGAACCAAGCUGAAUGAAACGCUACCAGCCUUAAAAUGAAAUGUAACGCUUUUUAAAAUGUUUAUCUGAGUGACCUCUUCUCUGUUGAUAAUGUUCCUGUCUGCAUUCCAAAUAGCCCCCCUAUUCCAUUACAUUUUUUUACAUUUUAGUCAUUUUAGCAGACGCUCUUAUCCAGAGCGACUUACAGUAGUGAAUACAUAAAUUUCAUACUUUUUUUUUUUCUUUCUGUGCUGGCCCCCCCGUGGGAAUCGAACCCACGACCCAUGCUCUACCAACUGAGCUACAGGGAAGGUCCUAUGGGCCCUGGUCAAAAGCAGUGCACUAUUUUGGGAGCCAGCCCUGGUUUUCCACGCUGUGAAGUCAGGGUCUGGAAAAGGUCAGAUAAAAAUAUGCUGUGUAGAACAUACGUGUUGGAGUAAAGAAUCAUGUCGGCUGCUAUUGGUUGUAUUUCUGUCUGCGUUCAGUAUGCUGUUGCACCCCUUUUACACGACCCUCGUUGUUAGAACUUGUUGCCCAGGGUUGUUUUGUCUGCGUCACACGUGUUUCUAUCCAUGUCAAGGGUAUUCAACUCUGACCCUACGAGGGACGGAGCCUGCUGGUUUUCUGUUCUUACCUGAUCAUUAAAUUGGGCCCCACCUGCUGUCCCCAGGUCUAAAUCAGGCCCUGAUUAGAGAGGGGAAUCACCCACCUGGUGUCCCCAGGUCUAAAUCAGGCCCUGAUUAGAGGGGAAUCACCCACCUGGUGUCCCAGGUCUAAAUCAGUCCCUGAUUAGAGGGGGAAUAACCCACCUGGUGUCCCCAGGUCUAAAUCAGUCCCUGAUUAGAGAGGGGAAUCACCCACCUGCUGUCCCCAGGUCUAA
This is a non-coding RNA of Salmo salar (Atlantic salmon), 2566 nucleotides long. The record is from RefSeq and is a predicted model, not a curated record. Lineage: Eukaryota; Metazoa; Chordata; Actinopteri; Salmoniformes; Salmonidae.